RNAcentral lists this ribosomal RNA (731 nucleotides) under Nasutitermes regularis. RNAcentral's name for it is "partial 16S rRNA". Lineage: Eukaryota; Metazoa; Arthropoda; Insecta; Blattodea; Termitidae. The record is from RNAcentral.
GGUAAUUUAUCUUAUAAUCAAAAUAAAUGGAUCAAAAAAACAUAAAUAAAUAUACAUAAACAAAGAGGAGUUAAACUAUUUUCCUCCCAUCACCCCAACAAAACAAUUUUCACACUCAAUAAAAUAUAAACAAACAACAAAUAAAUAAGAAAAAUGUUAAACUCUAUAGGGUCUUCUCGUCCCACAAAAACAUUUAAGAAUUUUAACUCAAAAACCAAAUUCAAUAAACAAUACCUCUAAGACAGCUUAUGUCUCGUCAAGCCAUUCAUACCAGAUCACAAUUAAAGAACUAAUGAUUAUGCUACCUUUGCACGGUCAAAAUACCGCGGCCCUUCAACAACAGUCAGUGGGCAGGCCAUACUUCAAAAACUAACAAGAAAAGAUGUUUUUGUUAAACAGGCGGACAUAAAAUUUGCCUAAUUCCUCAAAAGCAAUUAAUCAUUUCAACAUUAACACAAAAUAACAAAUAAAUUUACUAAUUACACAAUAAUUACUUCACAAACCAAAAGUAAAGAAAACAUUUCAAUAAACAAUUUAAAUAACAAAAAAUAAAAAAAAGAACAAAUAAAAUUUUAACAUAAUCAAAUAGAAAAUCACCAUAAAAUCCACAAAACUAAAUCAAAUCACAACCAAUUAUAAAAAUAAAACAAGGAGCUAAUCCCCCUUAAUCUUAACAUCAAAUAAAAAUAAAUAGAACAACAACAGAAAUUAAAUAAGAUGUAUGAAUUAAA